This 468-nucleotide ribosomal RNA is filed under the name uncultured bacterium. Its description in RNAcentral is "partial 16S ribosomal RNA". It matches the Rfam family "Bacterial small subunit ribosomal RNA", at positions 28 to 507 of the family's 1533-position model. The record is from RNAcentral.
GACGAACGCUGGCGGCGUGCUUAACACAUGCAAGUCGAACGGUGAAGCUCCAGCUUGCUGGAGUGGAUCAGUGGCGAACGGGUGAGUAACACGUGAGCAACCUGCCCCUGACUCUGGAAUAAGCGCUGGAAACGGCGUCUAAUACUGGAUACGAGAAGGGUCCGCAUGGGCACUUUCUGGAAAGUUUUUCGGUUGGGGAUGGGCUCGCGGCCUAUCAGCUUGUUGGUGAGGUAAUGGCUCACCAAGGCGACGACGGGUAGCCGGCCUGAGAGGGCGACCGGCCACUCUGGGACUGAGACACGGCCCAGACUCCUACGGGAGGCAGCAGUGGGGAAUAUUGCACAAUGGGCGAAAGCCUGAUGCAGCGACGCCGCGUGAGGGAUGACGGCCUUCGGGUUGUAAACCUCUUUCAGCAGGGAAGAAGCGAAAGUGACGGUACCUGCAGAAGAAGCACCGGCUAACUACGUG